This 1481-nucleotide long non-coding RNA is filed under the name Macaca fascicularis (crab-eating macaque). RNAcentral's name for it is "lncRNA (ENSMFAG00000049311.1)". Lineage: Eukaryota; Metazoa; Chordata; Mammalia; Primates; Cercopithecidae. The record is from RNAcentral.
UUUUUUUUUUUUCUGAGGUGGAGUCUCCCCCUGUCACCCAGGCUGGAGUGCAGUGGUGCGAUCUCAGCUCACUGCAACCUCCACUUCCCAGGUUCGAGCGAUUCUCCUGCCUCAGCCUCCUGAGUAGCUGGCAUUAUAGGCGCGCAAAACCAUACCUGGCUAAUUUUUUAAAAAAAUUAUUUUUAGUAGAAUUGGGGUUUUUGCCAUAUUGGCCAGGCUGGUCUUGAACUCAUGACUUUAGGUGAUCCACCUGCCUUAGCCUCCCAAAGUGCUGGGAUUAUAGUCGUGAGCCACCGCACCUGGCCACAAUUUCUUAACACCAUCUUAUAUCCAGUUCAUAAUUAAAUUUUUCUGAUUGUCUCAAAGUUCUAAUAAAGGAUCCCCCAAUGAAGGGCCCACGUUGAAUUUCAUUGUUUCAUUGUCUCCUGAAUGUCCUUUUUUUCUAUAACUUAUUUCCUCUCCCUGCCAUUGAUUCAUUAGAGAAAUGAGAGCAGUUGUCCCAUGGAAUGUCCUACAUUCUGGAUUUGACUGAUUGCUUUCUAUAGUGUCCUUUAACUUGUUCUCCUGAGGCAACUUCUUUGAACAGUUUCUGCUUUUAGUUCUUUUUGUGAUUAGCUUGAAAUCUCCAAAUGUGUUGUUACUUGAUUUAGAUACCAAGAUGAAUGCAAAUUUAGCUUGCUUUCCCAGCCUCCCUUCUCCCAACAUAAUUUGGUCACAAACCUCUGCUACUGCGCUGGUCCUCUCUGAUUUCAUACUGUGCUGGUCCUCUCUGAUUUCAGAAUAUGUCCUCUUUUUUUUUUUAAAGACAGGGUCUCACUCUGUCACCAGGCUGGAGUGCAGUGAUGUGAUUAUAGCUCACUGCAGCCUCAACCUCCCAGGCUCGAGUGAUCCUUCUGCCUCAGCCUUCUGAGUAGCUGGAACUACAGGCAUGCACCAAUGCACCAGGUUAAUUUUUAAAAUUUUUGUAGAGAUGAGGUCUUGCUAUGUCGCCCAGGCUUGGUCUCAAACUUCUGGGCUUAACAGAUCCUCCCAUCUCAGCCUCCAAAAGCACUGGGAUUACAGGUAUGAGCCACUGUGCCCAGCUGAUUGCAGACAACAUCUUAGAACCUCUAUUUAGUGUUCCAUCAACCGAGAGUUGAGGAUGUUUGUGCUUGGAUGGUUCCCUUCACCUGUUGUUCCUUUUUUUUUUUUAACUGUUUCUCAUUUAAUUUUUAAUUGGCAAAUAAAACUUGUAUACAUUUAUGGUGUACAAUAUGUUUUGAAAUAUGUAUAUGUUGCAGAAUGACUAAAUCAAGCUAAUUGACAUAUGCAUUACCUCAAAUACUUACUUUUGUGUGGUGAGAACACUUAGAAUCUACUCUCUUAGCAAUUUUCCAAGUAUACACCACGUUGUUAUUAACUUUAGUCAGCAUGCUAUACCGUAGAUCUUUUGACCUCAUUUCUUCUGUCUAACUAAAAUUUCUUGUCCUCUGACCAACAUA